GGGUUUAAUAAAGACAAAAGUAUUCAGCAGUAAAUUAAUUCUGUAUAAAUAUGGAACAUGUAUUAAUAUUAAUAUCCUUUGGGUAAUUUUACAAUAAGUAACAGUACUGUAUCUGUUGUCUUUACUAUUUAAUGUUGUCUGAAACAUCUCGUCUACUGCUGUUUGUUUAUCAGACUGUUUUAUCGGAGAGUCAGAAGUGUCUCCUGGUGAUGUUGGGCUUCAGGGAUGAAUACAGCCUGGGUCUGUCUCAGGGGGCUGGUGGGACACGUGGGAAACCAAAUGAAUGUGUUUAAAACUUUCUGCAUUUUUAUCAGUUGGAAUGAUCAGAAUUCAGCAACGCUUCUAAAACAAGUGUCUUUCUGUCCCUUGUUCUCUCUUUCUCUCCCUCUUUCUCUCUCUGCCCCUCUCUCUCUCUGUCUUUCCCUUUCUCUCUUACUGCCCCUCUUUCGCUCUCUUUCCCUUUCUCUCUAUCUCCCCCUCUCUCUCUCUUUCUGUCUGUCCUCUUCUGUCUGUCUCUCUUUUUUUUGCCCCUCUCUCUCUGCCUCUUUCUCGUGCUCUCUCUAUCAGUUUGCUGUGAAUCCCUGAGCUAUCAUAGGAACACCUUAGAUGUGAAGGCAUUUAUAUAUUUAGACUGUUAGUAAAUUAUUCACAAUAUUGUGUUUUAUUGUUGAGCUCAAAAUCUAAUUAUUCUUUCUAUCUUUGUUCAUCCAAUCUUUUGUUCCAGAAACCCUGACUGUGGAAAUCAGCACAUAACUCGGCUAUUAAUUCGUUAUAAUUUACUUGAGCACAAUUGCAUUACAUGCUCGUUCCCAGGAGCUCCGGCUGUGACGUGGGUCGAUUUAUUUAGUAUUAAUUACAGUAGUCUGAACUAAAUAUCGGAAUGUUUAUGAUGUUGAAUUAUUGUGCUGUGAAGAAAUUGUACGUAAAGUUGUAGGGAUGGGGAUAUUAUCUUGUUCUUUCUUUUACUCCCUAGAACACCUGGCUGUGAGGUUGGAAGAUGCCCCACUGGAUUUUUCUUAAAUUAAAAUAGUGUCAGUAGUAAAUGAUUUAAUAAGCGAUAUUGCAAUACGUUAUCAUUGUAAUACGAUUGCUACUGUAGGUGUUUUCAUUGUUAGUUUAAGCUGUUCUGCCACUGAAUCACCUUCGUUUGUUCGCAGCGCUCUCGUCUCAAGGCCGUGGGUCGUUUAGAGACGUUUCUGUGGGUGUAAAGAAGGAAAUGCUUGCUCAGCAUCUGGGCAGAGUCACCUGUGAGCAAAGGUCAGGUUGGAAACUUGCUGAAGAUCAAGUUCCUGUUAAUCAGUAGAUCUAAAAUCGUUAAAAUACAUGUUCAGUGCAUCAUGGUGUUAAGUUUCAUCUACAGCCAAUUGAUACCCAACUGCCAGAGAAUCCCAGAGUUGGAGCCGAGUUUCUGAUGGCUGGAGAAGUCCGAGUUUUUAACCAAACCUCUGGCCAGGCCAUGGUUCAUGCCACCUGCAUCAGGAUCCAGAUGGUGUGGUCCUGCCUGUUUCCGGUGCCCAACUCGAGCUUACUCGCCAUCUCCUCUUUGAAUGCAUGCCCAGCUCGUUUGCUCGUUCCCGUUUUGUUUCGUCUUAGAGAACAGUGCUGCUCCUGCUCCACAGACUUGUUGCUGAAGAUCUGGGACUUAAAGCGGAACUGUGGCCACAGUAUUUUUGUCAAUUUUCAGCAAUGUGAAACCCCACGUUGAACUCCGUUUUCUGUACGGCUGUAGCGCCUUGCGUGUUUUCUUGGCUGCUCCAUAUGGAUUUUGUCUCAUCGUGGUACCGGAUUGAAGGAGAACAUGAAACGAACAAACUUGACCUUUUUCUUUCACACUAACCUCUCUAGGUCUCCAUGUCCUGAGUGAAGGAUGUGUGUACAUGUGUGAAAUGGUGGAUGGUGAAACUUGCAGUUGGGUCCUGUGUGUUCAGCUUUAACUAUCUUGAUGUUCUUGGAAGCUUGUACUGUGUUAAGCAUGUUUUUUUUUUUUUUGUUCUGCUAAAAGGUUUUUUGUGUGUGUGAAAUUGUACACUUUUUGUGUGAUAUGUUGAUUGUCUUCUCUUACUUGUUAGUCAUGUGCUGCUGUUUUUCUGAGUGUCUUGUUACCUCCAGCCCCCACCCCAAGGGGUUGUGGUUUUCUCCCCCUUGUCGUUGGUGUUUUUUUUGGUGUCUGGUGUGAAUUCUUGCUUUAUUCUUGUAGGGGGAUGGUGAAGAAAGCAGUCUUUUCUCUUUCUUCCGGCUCCUUCUGUGUAUCUGUCCUGAGCUUGACCUUGACUGUAUAACUUUAGAUCUAGGUUCAUACGCAUAACUUAAUCAAACCAUAUCAAAAAAAUCUCAAACCUAAAACUCACGUUUGCAUGAAAUGCACUUGAUUAAGGACGGCAUAAAGGCUGUUAAGAAAUACAUAAAUCACUACUGUGUUGCACCCCGUUUUAGGGGUAAAGGGUAAUACGAGAGUCAAAACUAUAACCUGUCUACCUUUUGCUCUUAACCUCCUGUGCUCGGAUUCAGGAGCUAUGGCUCAUAGACGGUCUACACCUGACGAUAGGAGGAAAAAGCAGAGCUCUGCCUAAAAAUCUAUAAACCAAAUACAGAUGGAAAAAAUAAAAACAAACUCGAUCUGAUCAUCUGCUCCUGUGUCCACAAGAAGUCAUGGACUGGAUGAACAUGUUUCUACAGCCUGGUUUGUUCUCUUUGCUCAGCUUCACUAUCAACAUAUUCAAAUCUGACCAGCAUAAAAAUUAAGUUGAUGCUGGUAUAUAAGAUUGGGUUAAAGUGGGUCUGGGCUUUUUGUCCCUAAAGCUGCUCUCUCAUAAGAACUCAUGUUUGUCUUAUUUCAUUCACAAGGCUGCCACGCUGCUGUUUACUGUAUCAGUUUGUGUGUUUGUAUAAUCUCAUCAUCCCAUAGUGUUGUCCUUCCUUUGUCUCUGCUGAUGCUAGAGUCUCAUGUUAAAGAUGGUCUACUGGU
Molecule: long non-coding RNA, 2965 nt
Organism: Tachysurus vachellii
Lineage: Eukaryota; Metazoa; Chordata; Actinopteri; Siluriformes; Bagridae
Exons: 4
Source: RefSeq, a predicted model, not a curated record